AAUAAGAGUAGUUGUGGGUUUUAGUGUUCAACUUUGACCAUCCGUCUUGUUUGAAAUAUUUUUAUGAUUAAUAUUUUUUGUUGUUAUUAGAUAAUAAAAUAUGAAUAGUACUUUACGUGUGACUUAACUUUUAAAAUUUUUUAAUAAAUUUUUCAAAUAAGACGGACGGUCAAACGUUAGGGACAUAAACUUUAGCUGCACUUAUA
Oryza rufipogon (brownbeard rice) is the source of this 206-nucleotide microRNA precursor. It matches the Rfam family "MIR812 microRNA precursor family". NCBI's taxonomy places the organism in Eukaryota, Viridiplantae, Streptophyta, Magnoliopsida, Poales, Poaceae. The record is from Rfam.